UGAGUAACCUGCCCUGGACUUUGGGAUAACCCUCGGAAACGGGGGCUAAUACCGGAUACGACAACUCAUCGCGUGGUGUGGUUGUGGAAAGUUUUUCGGUCUGGGAUGGGCUCGCGGCCUAUCAGCUUGUUGGUGGGGUGAUGGCCUACCAAGGGUACGAUGGGUAGCUGGUCUGAGAGGAUGAUCAGCCACACUGGAACUGAGACACGGUCCAGACUCCUACGGGAGGCAG
RNAcentral lists this ribosomal RNA (232 nucleotides) under uncultured bacterium. RNAcentral describes it as "partial 16S ribosomal RNA". It matches the Rfam family "Bacterial small subunit ribosomal RNA", at positions 118 to 351 of the family's 1533-position model. The record is from RNAcentral.